CUUUUUGUAUUUCAUGUAUUUUACAUGAAUCCAUCUAAUUUUCAUUCUUUAUUUUUUAUAUGGCACAGGGAAAAAUGUACUUUGCAAAAAGUAAACUGUUUAAGUUUGAGUGACGUCACUUAGUGGCGCUGUCGCGUCUGACUCUCUCAGUUCUACAUGUGACUGAAGAGAGUAAGUUGUGUUUCUUUGCAUCUCUGCAUGUCGAUUUAUAAAAACGAUAAAAUGGUUAAAAAUAUAAGUGUAAAAAGUGUUAAAAAGAUGGAUUGAGUGAAGAUGUUUGACUUUCUAUGAAAAGUGAGAUACAUUUAUCAAGUUUAAGAGACAAACGGUUUUAAUGUGUUUGUUUAGUGUUGCCGUCCGCGUGCUAAUUGAAAGUGCGGGGUUUUUUUCUUUUAAUAUAAUUUUAAAAUACAAAAUUUUGGUGAAUCGAGUCUGUAUAAAUGUUAUGUUGCCUAUUUGAUUUUAGUUUAAUGUGUGAUUUUUAUUUAAGUCAUAAAAUGUGUAUAUAUUUAACCAAAUGAGACCCUGAAUUUGCAGUCAUUGUGUUAAUGGAGGACAGGGAUUAAUCUAUUUGUCUCACAUCACUCAGAGAGAACUGUUGGUGAGAGGAUGUGUGUUUGAUGAUCCUGUGUCUUUUAUUAUUAAACUGCAGAUAUGUUAACAACAAAUCACUAUACGAUCACAUAACUGGUUAAAUAUUGUCUUUUAUUGAGUAUUAUAAUGAAGAUGUCUCAUGUUAAGUGUAGUGUUAAUGUAAAUGAGUGUGUAUAUGUUAAAUUCAUUUUUUUGUUGUAUAAUUUUUGUUUAUGUAUAUUUGUGUAAGAGAUGAAUAACUUACAUGUUAUUCAUAACAAGCAGUUCUACAUGUGACUGAAGAGAAGAGAACUGUUGGUGAGAGGAUGUGUGUUUGAUGAUCCUGUGUCUUUUAUUAUUAAACUGCAGAACCUGAUUCACCAAAGUGCUCGGAGUUGGUGUGUCAUUUGUGGUGCUGAAGGAAAUCCGCUUCAAAAUGUUUGCCUAAUUAAUAUCGGGAUGUUUUCAAAUAAAUAAAUGUUCAUUUCUAAUUCAUUCAACAGGACCUUCAUACUGCUUCUGUGAACAUUUAUUUUUAUGCAUAUUCUGCAGUAUUAUGACAUGAAACUGAACUGAAUGCAUUUAUUAAAGAAUUAUUACCACAAAAAGUAACUUUUUGAAUUGACAGCCUAUGUGAGCCAUGUCAAAUAAGUUUCAGAUGGCCUGUUUAUGUAUUCUAUCACGUCAUGUUUAUUAUACACAUAUAAUAUUUGUUAGUUGAAAGAAGAGGGUUCACAAUAGAAUGUUUCAAUAUUUGAAGCCUUAUAUUUGUUAUGUACCCAUCCACACACACACACACAUGCAUACACAAAUAUAAAAAUGUUCUCCCAUGACUACAUCAUAAUGGACCAUUAGCACCUGUGAAUUGUGCUGUUGGAUGAUGUGUCCUGAUUGGUGGUUGACCUGGGUCAGGUCAGGUUAAGAAACCUGUUUGGCCUGAAAGCCUUACAGUUGUUUUUGAGUAUCUUCUGAAGAUCAUCACUGUUUCUGUUUGUGACCUGCUACUUGAAGUUGUCUCCAUUUGAAAUAGCUUCUAGAAAGUAAGUACAUUUUGUCUGUCUGACUUAUGCCUUGUUAAAAGAGAUGGUAAGAUGCCUGUGUAAGGAGAGCAUGUUUUUUGUGUUAUUGUUAUACCAUGAAAUAAGGUUACUUUGCCAUGUUCAUUCAUUCUCAUUCAUUAUGAGAUCUUCAUGUUGAUUUUAGAGAGAACUAUGUAGGAGAAUGUUCUCUUUAGAUACUUUGAGUUAAUAAAAGUUCAUCUGGUGUCAAGAUUGCUAUAGUAACCAAGUGCCUGGGUUGGUCACUGACAUUUUUUCUUCUAAAGAGGGAAUGAGUGGGUCUGUAAUUAUUUGAUAGAUCUAAUGAACAAUUGUGUAUCAGAUUAGUUAAAAAAACAUUUUUUUCUAUAUUUUUAUACAGUUUUAUUGAAAUUGUCUUAAUACAUGCAGAUACACUAGAGCUAGUCAAUUUGUACAGUGAAAUCUUUAUGCAAAUUGUACAGUUCUAUGGCUUCAAACCAACAUCUUCCUAUGUUUUCUAGAUAAUUCAAGAUGAUUACUUGUCCAAUCUGCCACAGCGACUAUUCAAACCUCCGGCAGCACCUGUGAACUUUUCAUUUUGUAUUCAAUUUGAAGGAACGUGCCAUUUUGUUAAAACUGUCCCAUUCCAGGCUUCCUCUAAAAAAUGAGGUGUGCCCAAUAUGUUCCAAGAAGUGCAUCCAUACUGCCCGGCAUGAUAGAGGCCCUCAACACCCUGAGCUGGAGGGUGGCAGUGCAGGAGCUGAAGGCCCUGCACCGUACAAACCCUGAGGUCCCUCUGGCUACACAGUUAGAUGAGGAGGAGGAGGAGCCUGUAGCCCAACCGUCUGCAACAGAUGCUGAAGCCCCACCCUCUGGAGCAGAAGGCCCUCGUCCGGAUGGACCAGAGCCCUAACCAGAACCGCCGGAGGCCCCUGUGGGACUUUUUCAGUUCUGGCCCACACCCACUCAGGUCUGGGGCCAACCUUGAUUGUUGGUGGAGCCUUACCCACCCCAAGCGAUGUGGACUGAACAAUUUCAAAUGUGUACCGCGCCAUCAGGGCAACAUCCAACCCAGCGAGGGGUGGCUGCACCAACACAGGAGGUGGGGGACGCUCUCUCUCAGGUGUUGGGCACCGCACUACAGGAGGUGUGGUCCCAACCAGCUGAGGAGUCUGCCCCACUGGCUUCAUCCAGUGCAGCAUCUGAAACACCUGAACAGAACGGAGAAAUGGAGGAGUUGAUUAACGAUCUCGGAUUUCUGGAUGCUUAUCCCACAGAGGACUUGCAGACUAACAAUUUUAAUAGCAUUUGAAGAGAAUUAUUUUAAUUUCUAAAAAAGGUUAUUGUUUUACUUGUUUUGAUAGCCUGUUUCAUUUUUAUUAUAUUAUAUAUUUUUUGUAAAUAGUUAUUACAAUUUUCAAAAAGUUUUGAUUUUGUAUUUUAAAAUGUUCUCUUCUAAAGUCUGAUCUUAAAACUUAUUUGUUUUCUCUGGCAUUUAAUUAAUGUCACUUUAAGGUUUUGAUGUCAGUUUGUUCUGAGUCUGUUUCAUUGUUUAUUUAUGUUUUUAUAUUUUACUUUUUUUCAUAUAAUGCAUGCUUCCUAUUGUGCUUUUUACAUAUUGUGCUUUGUUGUACAGCACUUCAACGCAACUCUCUUGCUUUUAAAAGUGCUAUCAAAAUAUAUUUUGACUUUGACUUUAAAAUGGAAAAAAAUUCAAUA
Long non-coding RNA from Carassius auratus (goldfish), 3311 nucleotides. RefSeq lists it as uncharacterized. The record is from RefSeq and is a predicted model, not a curated record. The transcript is spliced from 3 exons. NCBI's taxonomy places the organism in Eukaryota, Metazoa, Chordata, Actinopteri, Cypriniformes, Cyprinidae.